AUUUUACAUGAGAGUUCUCAGUGGGUCUUUUCAAACUGGAGACUCAUGAUCAUGACAAUCUGCUUUGAAGCCGACCAAAUGGGAUUUCUGAGAAGGAAGUUACAGUAAAUUGAGAAAUAUCAUCGGAGCAUGGAGAACGGUGGGCUCGGAGGCCCGUGCUGGGAGCCACAGCUCAGUGUGGCACCCAGGCCACCUGCACCCUGGGCUCGGGGUCUCCUCCAUCCUGCAUGUGCCUGCUCUGUGUCCAGCUGGUGGGCAUCGGCUAUUCCUCAAGAAACCUAGCUUGGUCCACUCCUGUUGGACCAGGCUCUCCGCAUCUCCCUGGGCCUCCUCCUUCGGCAGGGGACAGGUCUGUGCUCCCUGGCUAACUCCAACUGACCUCCUUCCGGCCCUGCCUAGGCUCCUUGCAGGCAUCUGUGCCCCCACCUGAGCAUACCCAGAGCUGCAGCAACGGAAACUCCUUCCUCCAGGAGCCUCGGUGGGACCAAUGUGCACCUUCUUCCUCUUCAUCCUUCUCUACCCUGGGGUUCCAGCAC
Molecule: long non-coding RNA, 536 nt
Filed under: Heterocephalus glaber (naked mole-rat)
Lineage: Eukaryota; Metazoa; Chordata; Mammalia; Rodentia; Bathyergidae
Description: lncRNA (ENSHGLG00000036282.1)
Source: RNAcentral